GGCGGACGGGUGAGUAACACGUAGGCAACCUGCCCGUAAGCUCGGGAUAACAUGGGGAAACUCAUGCUAAUACCGGAUAGGGUCUUCUCUCGCAUGAGAGGAGACGGAAAGGUGGCGCAAGCUACCACUUACGGAUGGGCCUGCGGCGCAUUAGCUAGUUGGUGGGGUAACGGCCUACCAAGGCGACGAUGCGUAG
Molecule: ribosomal RNA, 196 nt
Filed under: Brevibacillus borstelensis
Lineage: Bacteria; Bacillati; Bacillota; Bacilli; Caryophanales; Paenibacillaceae
Description: partial 16S ribosomal RNA
Rfam family: Bacterial small subunit ribosomal RNA
Source: RNAcentral